This 259-nucleotide ribosomal RNA is filed under the name uncultured archaeon. RNAcentral describes it as "partial 16S ribosomal RNA". It matches the Rfam family "Archaeal small subunit ribosomal RNA", at positions 748 to 1009 of the family's 1478-position model. The record is from RNAcentral.
AGGGUGUAAACGCUGCAGACUUGGUGUUGGAGGCCCUUUGGGGGCAUUCAGUGCCGGAGGGAAGUUGUUAAGUCUGCUACUUGGGAGUACGUCCGCAAGGAUGAAACUUAAAGGAAUUGGCGGGGAGCACCGCAACGGGAGGAGCGUGCGGUUUAAUUGGACUCAACGCCGGGAAGCUCACCGGAUAAGACAGCGGAAUGAUUGCCGGGCUGAAGACUCUGCAUGACUAGCUGAGAGGUGGUGCAUGGCGUAGACGUCU